Molecule: ribosomal RNA, 222 nt
Filed under: uncultured bacterium
Lineage: Bacteria
Description: partial 16S ribosomal RNA
Rfam family: Bacterial small subunit ribosomal RNA
Source: RNAcentral
AAUCAACGCUGGCGGCGUGCCUAACACAUGCAAGUCGCACGAGAAAGGGGAGCAAUCCCUGAGUACAGUGGCGCACGGGUGAGUAACACGUGAAUUAUCUACCUCCGAGUGGGGAAUAACUGAGAGAAAUCUUAGCUAAUACCGCAUAACACUUACGAGUCAAAGCAGCAAUGCGCUUGGAGAGGAGUUCGCGGCAGAUUAGUUAGUUGGCGGGGUAAGNGG